This 549-nucleotide ribosomal RNA is filed under the name uncultured crenarchaeote. RNAcentral's name for it is "bacterial SSU rRNA". It matches the Rfam family "Archaeal small subunit ribosomal RNA", at positions 327 to 876 of the family's 1478-position model. Lineage: Archaea; Thermoproteati; Thermoproteota. The record is from RNAcentral.
CGGGCGCAGCAGGCGCGAAACCUCUGCAAUAGGCGAAAGCUUGACAGGGUUAUUCUGAGUGACUUYCGCUAAGGAAGUCUUUUGGCACCUCUAAAAAUGGUGCAGAAUAAGGGGUGGGCAAGUCUGGUGUCAGCCGCCGCGGUAAUACCAGCACCCCGAGUGGUCGGGACGAUUAUUGGGCCUAAAGCAUCCGUAGCCGGUUUUACAAGUCCUCCGUUAAAUCCACCUGCUUAACAGAUGGGCUGCGGAGGAUACUAUAAAACUAGGAGGCGGGAGAGGCAAGCGGUACUCAGUGGGUAGGGGUAAAAUCCGUUGAUCCAUUGAAGACCACCAGUGGCGAAGGCGGCUUGCCAGAACGCGCUCGACGGUGAGGGAUGAAAGCUGGGGGAGCAAACCGGAUUAGAUACCCGGGUAGUCCCAGCUGUAAACGAUGCAGACUCGGUGAUGGAYUAGCUUCAUGCYWAUCCAGUGCCGCAGGGAAGCCGUUAAGUCUGCCGCCUGGGUAGUACGGUCGCAAGACUGAAACUUAAAGGAAUUUGGGCGGGGGAG